RNAcentral lists this ribosomal RNA (470 nucleotides) under uncultured bacterium. RNAcentral's name for it is "bacterial SSU rRNA". It matches the Rfam family "Bacterial small subunit ribosomal RNA", at positions 28 to 507 of the family's 1533-position model. The record is from RNAcentral.
GACGAACGCUGGCGGCGUGCCUAACACAUGCAAGUCGAGCGGAGACAUGAGGGAGCUUGCUCCCGAAUGUUUUAGCGGCGGACGGGUGAGUAACGCGUGAGCAACCUUUCUCUCAGUGGGGAAUAACACACCGAAAGGUGUACUAAUACCGCAUGAGACCACAGUGCCGCAUGGUACAGGGGUCAAAGAUUUAUUGCUGAGAGGUGGGCUCGCGUCCGAUUAGAUAGUUGGUGAGGUAACGGCUCACCAAGUCGACGAUCGGUAGCCGACCUGAGAGGGUGAUCGGCCACAUUGGGACUGAGACACGGCCCAAACUCCUACGGGAGGCAGCAGUGGGGAAUAUUGGGCAAUGGGCGAAAGCCUGACCCAGCAACGCCGCGUGAAGGAAGAAGGUCUUCGGAUCGUAAACUUCUGUCCUAAGUGAAGAGUAGAAGACGGUAACUUAGGAGGAAGCCCCGGCUAACUACGUG